UAGGGAAUCUUCGGCAAUGGACGAAAGUCUGACCGAGCAACGCCGCGUGAGUGAAGAAGGCCUUCGGAUCGUAAAACUCUGUUGUUAGAGAAGAACAAGGACGUUAGUAACUGAACGUCCCCUGACGGUAUCUAACCAGAAAGCCACGGCUAACUAAGUGCCAGCAGCCGCGGUAAUACGUAGGUGGCAAGCGUUGUCCGGACUUAUUGGGCGUAAAGCGAGCGCAGGCGGUUUCUUAAGUCUGAUGUGAAAGCCCCCGGCUCAACCGGGGAGGGGCAUUGGAAACUGGGAGACUUGAGGGCAGAAGAGGAGAGUGGAAUUCCAGGUGUAGCGGUGAAAUGCGUAGAGAUAUGGAGGAACACCAGUGGCGAAGGCGGCUCACUGGUCUGUAACUGACGCUGAGGUUCGAAAGCGUGGGGAGCAAACAGG
Molecule: ribosomal RNA, 429 nt
Filed under: Gemmatimonadota bacterium
Lineage: Bacteria; Pseudomonadati; Gemmatimonadota
Description: Gemmatimonadetes bacterium partial 16S ribosomal RNA
Rfam family: Bacterial small subunit ribosomal RNA
Source: RNAcentral